RNAcentral lists this ribosomal RNA (492 nucleotides) under uncultured bacterium. RNAcentral's name for it is "partial 16S ribosomal RNA". It matches the Rfam family "Bacterial small subunit ribosomal RNA", at positions 29 to 507 of the family's 1533-position model. The record is from RNAcentral.
AGUGAACGCUGGCGGUAGGCCUAACACAUGCAAGUCGAACGGCAGCACAGUAAGAGCUUGCUCUUACGGGUGGCGAGUGGCGGACGGGUGAGGAAUACAUCGGAAUCUACUUUUUCGUGGGGGAUAACGUAGGGAAACUUACGCUAAUACCGCAUACGACCUACGGGUGAAAGCAGGGGAUCUUCGGACCUUGCGCGAUUGAAUGAGCCGAUGUCGGAUUAGCUAGUUGGCGGGGUAAAGGCCCACCAAGGCGACGAUCCGUAGCUGGUCUGAGAGGAUGAUCAGCAAAACUGGAACUGAGACACGGUCAAGACUCCUACGGGAGGCAGCAGUGGGGAAUAUUGGACAAUGGGCGCAAGCCUGAUCCAGCCAUACCGCGUGGGUGAAGAAGGCCUUCGGGUUGUAAAGCCCUUUUGUUGGGAAAGAAAAGCAGCAGGUUAAUACCCCGCUGUUCUGACGGUACCCAAAGAAUAAGCACCGGCUAACUUCGUG